GGUGUAGGCGGCCAUGCAAGUCGGGGGUGAAAGCCCCGGGUUCAACUCGGGAAGUGCCUCCGAAACUGCAUGGCUUGAGUCCGGGAGAGGUGGGUGGAAUUCCCGGUGGAGCGGUGAAAUGCGCAGAUAUCGGGAGGAACACCGGUGGCGAAGGCGGCCCACUGGAACGGUACUGACGCUGAGACCCGAAAGCGUGGGGAGCAAACA
Molecule: ribosomal RNA, 207 nt
Filed under: uncultured bacterium
Lineage: Bacteria
Description: partial 16S ribosomal RNA
Rfam family: Bacterial small subunit ribosomal RNA
Source: RNAcentral